RNAcentral lists this long non-coding RNA (741 nucleotides) under Elaeis guineensis (African oil palm). Its description in RNAcentral is "long non-coding RNA (EGUI_LNC050630)". Lineage: Eukaryota; Viridiplantae; Streptophyta; Magnoliopsida; Arecales; Arecaceae. The record is from RNAcentral.
ACUCCUACGGGAGCCGGACUUCGCCCCUGACUCUAAUUGCAGGUAGACUUCGCCUAGACUCCUAUGGGAGCCAGACCUCGUCUCCAACUCUGGCUACGGGAAGACUCCGCCCGGACUCCUACGGGAGCCGGACUUCAUCCCCGACCUCGACUAAUGGUAAACUUCAUCCGGACUCCUACGGGAGCUGGACUUUGCCCCUGACUCGAAUUGCAGGUAGACUUCGCCCAGACUCCUACGGGAGCCAGACCUCGUCUCCAACUCCGACUACGGGAAGACUCCGCCCAGACUCCUACGGGAGCCGGACUUCAUCCCCGACCUCGACUAAUGGUAAACUUCAUCCGGACUCCUACGGGAGCCAGACUUCGCCCCUGACUCUAAUUGCAGGUAGACUUCGCCCAGACUCCUACGGGAGCCAGACCUCGUCUCCGACUCCGGCUAUGGGAAGACUCCGCCCGGACUCCUACGGGAGCCGGACUUCAUCCCCGACCUCGACUAAUGGUAAACUUCAUCCGGACUCCUACGGGAGCCGGACUUCGCCCCUGACUCUAAUUGCAGGUAGACUUCGCCCAGACUCCUACGAGAGCCAGACCUCGUCUCCAACUCCGGCUACGGGAAGACUCCGCCCGGACUCCUACGGGAGUCGGACUUCAUUCCCGACCUCGACUAAUGGUAAACUUCAUUUGGACUCCCAUGGGAGCCAGACUUCGCCCCUGACUCUAAUUGCAGGUAGACUUCGCCCAG